Molecule: ribosomal RNA, 253 nt
Filed under: uncultured bacterium
Lineage: Bacteria
Description: partial 16S ribosomal RNA
Rfam family: Bacterial small subunit ribosomal RNA
Source: RNAcentral
UACAGAGGUGGCAAGCGUUGUUCGGAAUUACUGGGCGUAAAGGGCGCGUAGGCGGUCCCGUAAGUUCCGCGUGAAAGCCCUCGGCUCAACUGAGGAAGUGCACCCGAAACUGGCGAGCUUGAGUACGAAAGAGGAUCGCGGAAUUCCCGGUGUAGAGGUGAAAUUCGUAGAUAUCGGGAGGAACACCGGUGGCGAAGGCGGCGAUCUGGGUCGAUACUGACGCUGAGGUGCGAAAGCGUGGGGAGCAAACAGG